RNAcentral lists this ribosomal RNA (811 nucleotides) under uncultured bacterium. Its description in RNAcentral is "bacterial SSU rRNA". It matches the Rfam family "Bacterial small subunit ribosomal RNA", at positions 8 to 796 of the family's 1533-position model. The record is from RNAcentral.
AGAGUUUGAUCAUGGCUCAGGACGAACGCUGGCGGCGUGCCUAACACAUGCAAGUCGUACGAGGGCAGCCUUCGGGCUGACCCGAGUGGCGGACGGGUGAGUAACACGUGACCAAUCUGCCUUCGAGAGGGGGAUAACCUGGGGAAACUCGGGCUAAUACCGCAUGAUGUAUCGUGCUCGCAUGGGCGUGAUACCAAAGGGAGGCCUCUAUUUAUAAGCUUCCGCUUGAAGAGGAGGUCGCGGCGUAUCAGCUAGUUGGUAGGGUAACGGCCUACCAAGGCGACGACGCGUAGCGGGUCUGAGAGGACGACCCGUCACAUUGGGACUGAGAUACGGCCCAGACUCCUACGGGAGGCAGCAGUGGGGAAUAUUGCGCAAUGGCCGAAAGGCUGACGCAGCGACGCCGCGUGUGGGAGGAAGCCCUUCGGGGUGUAAACCACUGUCGGGAGGGACGAAUCGCGAACGGGCAAAUAGCCCGGGCGCUUGACGGUACCUCCAAAGGAAGCACCGGCUAACUCCGUGCCAGCAGCCGCGGUAAGACGGAGGGUGCAAGCGUUGUUCGGAAUUACUGGGCGUAAAGCGCGGGCAGGUGGCCUUUUAAGUCCUUUGUGAAAUCCCGGAGCUCAACUCCGGAUGUGCAUAGGAUACUGGAAGGCUAGAGACUGGUAGAGGCGAGCGGAAUUCCUGGUGUAGCGGUGGAAUGCGUAGAUAUCAGGAAGAACACCGGUGGCGAAGGCGGCUCGCUGGGCCAGUUCUGACACUCAUCCGCGAAAGCGUGGGGAGCAAACAGGAUUAGAUACCCUAGUAGUCC